RNAcentral lists this ribosomal RNA (264 nucleotides) under uncultured bacterium. RNAcentral's name for it is "partial 16S ribosomal RNA". It matches the Rfam family "Bacterial small subunit ribosomal RNA", at positions 793 to 1055 of the family's 1533-position model. The record is from RNAcentral.
GUCCACGCCCUAAACGAUGCUCACUAGGUGUUGGGGAAGCGAUUCCUUGGUACCGUAGCUAACGCGUGAAGUGAGCCGCCUGGGGAGUACGGCCGCAAGGUUAAAACUCAAAGGAAUUGACGGGGACCCGCACAAGCGGUGGAUGAUGUGGAUUAAUUCGAUGCAACGCGAACAACCUUACCUACCCUUGACAUGUCCGAGAGCCUGCUGAAAGGUGGGUGUGCCUGAAAGGGAAUCGGAACACAGGUGCUGCAUGGCUGUCGU